CUUUUUCCUGCUCCUCUCCACCCAGAAGCAGGCCUGGCAACAAGGCUGAAACACCACUGGCAGAAACCCAGCACCCACACAGCCAGGCAUGGGCUGGGGUUCCCCAGGGAGGACCAUCAAUCUUCUCACCCACCUAAGGCAUUUGGCCGCAGCAGGAGGGCCUCAGAGUUCCUACCCGAUGCUGAGUGGGACCCAAGGGAACAGGAUGCCAGGCCUCUGCGGGUCACCCGUGGUGGUAUGUGUGAAACCCCAUACCACCAACGUGAGCCAUUGGCCCAUCCCCAUCGGCCCAGCUCAGCCUGGCAAGGAGGCAGCCAGGUCCCGGAGAGCAGGGGCCCCAGAGCCAGCUUCCAGAAUUGGGGGUGUCUCCCCAUCCUGACUUUCCUCCACAACCCACCUGGGGUCUGUCACUCUACACCACCCAAAGCUCUUUACAUCGUGCCCUGUGUUGCAAUUCAGUACAACAAGUGCCCUGUGCGGAAGGGUGGCCUUUUACUCAUUCCAGAAAUAAAUGGCCAUCAAGCACCCACUA
This is a long non-coding RNA of Leopardus geoffroyi (Geoffroy's cat), 532 nucleotides long. RefSeq lists it as uncharacterized. The record is from RefSeq and is a predicted model, not a curated record. The transcript is spliced from 2 exons. NCBI's taxonomy places the organism in Eukaryota, Metazoa, Chordata, Mammalia, Carnivora, Felidae.